GUGUGCUUAAUUGUCUUACACAUACACAAAAGCAGAUCAUCAAUCAGAUGUUUUAAAAAUCGAUAUACUGGCUAAAAGAAAAGAUGUGUAUUAUUUAAUAUAUCUUAAUUUAUUUCAUUAUUUGAGCAAUAUAUACUUUUACUCGUAUAUUAAAAUUGUUUUGUUUUUUUACACCAGUACAAUGUGUGUUUUACAUUGGAGGUGUGGACUAUCAACACACGCCCACUUUUUUCACACAUCAUUUUACAAGACACUAAGCCCUCGUCCCUAAGAGUAAAAUCACAGUAUUUCGGAAAACCAACGUGGUUGAAAAGACUUCGGCUUUCAAUUUUUUUGGGGGAAAAAAAUAAAUUGUUCCGGAAAUAAAAAUGGCAGGAACCUCUAAUGGUAAGUUUAUAUAUAAGAAAUAUUCAAAAUACUGUUGUUUAAAGCAAUUGUUUUUUUAAUAUUAUACAUGAUUAUUAAAUCAGACAUCGCUUAAAAGGCGAACUGCCCCUCUCUCUGCAGACACCAGGACUUCAGGCGAUAUGGGCUGAGAUUUUAGCGCUGAAUACUGACGAGUUUAAAAAUCUUGCUGAAAAUCGUAGCUCACAAGAGUGUAUUAACGAGUCGUCUGCACCUCGGACAGUUCAUGAAGAUGCACCAUCAGCGUGUAUAAAUGUGUCGUCACCCCUGACGAGUAUUCAUGAAAACACAUUACCACUAGCGUCUAUGAGUGAAAUCGUCAGCCGUGUCGACGACAAACGGUCUACCGGUCUACUAGAGGUCUACACAACAAGUACACGCGCAGGAACGAGCAGUAUGUAUUGUUAGAUCAGUCAUUGUUAUAUUUAUUAUUACCAAAAUAAUAUUAAUAAUCAUACCCUCCAUUUAUUUUAGGACGUAAAAGGAAUAUUGUGCCGAGAGACCGUCGUGUCGGUGGUGUAAAGCAGAAAGUAGUCACCACUACAGCACAGGUUCAUGUGGAUGCUACAUCUGACGAAAUAAGCGUUAUACCAAAUACACCUGAACCAAAACGACCAAGAAAAUCACAAGGUAUGUUAUCUCUAUUUAAUGAUAUAUAAAAAAAAAAAUGUACAUCUGGUUGAUAUGUUUACUCAUUAGCAUUAU
Danio rerio (zebrafish) is the source of this 1110-nucleotide non-coding RNA. NCBI's taxonomy places the organism in Eukaryota, Metazoa, Chordata, Actinopteri, Cypriniformes, Danionidae. The record is from RefSeq and is a predicted model, not a curated record.